Molecule: unclassified non-coding RNA, 436 nt
Filed under: Hevea brasiliensis (rubber tree)
Lineage: Eukaryota; Viridiplantae; Streptophyta; Magnoliopsida; Malpighiales; Euphorbiaceae
Source: RNAcentral
GGCAUGUGGAAAUGAGCAUGUUGUGGCAUUAGUCACUGCUGGGGAGGUUUAUAAAGGGAGUGAUCUUCUUUGUUAUUCUUGGGGUGGCAACACCCAUGGUCAGUUAGGCUUGGGAGACAGGCAGAGCAGACAGUAUCCUGAAGUUAUUGAGCCCUUCAAUUCAGAUGCCCCUUGGACAGUGUAUGAGGUAGCAUGUGGAGCUUUUCACACUGCUUUACUAGCUCAGAGAAGUCCAAGUGAUACAUUAGAAAGUGUAUGCUGGACAUUUGGCCAGGGAGAUAAUGGGCAAUUAGGUCAAGGGACAACCCAAAGUACGUUGUCUCCUGAACCAGUGAAAGGGUUACCGCGGAAUGCGUUUCUCAUUUCUGUUGACUGUGGUUUGUUUCACACAAGUGUUGUCUCUUCUGCUGGAGAUGUGUGGUCAUGGGGAAUGGAG